AGUAAUUUGAUCGAGUAAAGUUUUUAUUAAUUACUUCCGUAACGUCUUAUCCUCUCAAUUUUCUAAGCUUUAAUAGCCCUGCAAUAUGUUCAAUAAGUGCUGUGUUGUGACCUGCUAGUAGACGAAAAGACGUCUGUUUUUAUAUGUUUCCAAAAAUUGAGAUAGGACUCAAGAAAUGGUUACAGUGCACUGUGAAGCUUGAGCUACCAGGAAAUUUGCAGGCAGUUUGUGUGCCAAAAUCAUUUUGAAAAAGAUUUCUCGCCUCUACAUGCGAUAGAACUCGCCUUUGCCCCGACGCCUAUCCUACUUUGUUAAGCGAUCGCAAGAUAACCAGUGGAAUUCCUCAAACCACGGUUACAAACCUCAAUACAACUGUUCCUGCCAUCAGUGAUCAUGGUUAUUGUAGAAAGAGGUGUCAUUUUGAUCACACAUAUUGAAAACUAGAGGUUAUGCAGAACCACACAAAAUAUCAUGGUGACAUUGGAGCACAGCUAUACAAUAAGCUUCCGAAAACUGUUAGAGAAGCGACUUCGCUCAACAUCUUCAAAAAAAGGCUGCUAUAUCAUUUACAAUGCAAUGAAUAAAAACAUCUUAUCAUAAUAACAAUAAACUAUAUCUUGUAACUUGGACCACCGACUUAAAAAACCGGAAAGCAGCAAUGAGCAAAUUCGCCUCUCACUCACUGAUUUUAUGUUCUCAUGUAAGUGACGACAGUCGUAAUGAGAAUUAAAGUUCUUUAAACCGAUAAAGUAUCAUAUAAGGUUUGUUCUACUCUCAGUUUCUACUACCGGUCCGUAGAUUGAAUUUGCAAUCAUGGUUAAAACUAUUAUAAACAGAUACAGAAAACCGGUAUGGUUUUCUGUAGCUUGCCCCAAAGAUUAAACUCCAAUCCCUGAAAUCACCUUAUGUCAGACUUCAGACUCCACCUGACUUAUAUGGUUUAAUAAUAAUUGACAGCUGUGCUGGCUUCUGACACCAUUUUUAACAAGAGAAAAGUCAAUAUAUGAGUCCAUAAUCUAAUACUAGCCCAAUGGUCAUAACACUAGGUUAUCACAAUUUAUCUGAUGGCUUUAAUAGUCACUCAAUUUAUUUAAUAAUGUUAUUUAUUAUUUUCAGAGAUUCCAAUGCAUUGUUUCCCAGAUGCUGUCAAAUUUCCUGAGCAGUUUAAAACUUGGGUCAGUCUUGUUGGUGGAAACCCUUAAACAUCUGAUUUUGAAUGUUAUAAGAAGAAGAGAAUUUGUGAUAUACACUUUUCUGACAGACACAGAAAUCGUAAUCAACGGCUAAGCACAUUGACAGUUCUGAUGCUUCAUCUGCCUAGACAACUACAGAGUCAAGUAAUCAUAGGACAAGCUUCAUCCACACAACAUUUAUUGCCUACAACAAUACAGCAAGACUGUUCAGAGCCAUAUGUGAGCAACUUUAUUUUAGAAAAAGCAUCAAAUUCAACAACAUUCCAACCUGUGGCUGCAGAUGCAUCUCAACAAUUUACUUAUAUAACGCAAGGUGCUUGAUGCUGGAACAUAAUUAUAGUUUUAUUAGCAAGCCUAAAGAAACAGCUGGAAAAGAUCUAAUGGCUCCACAGUGCACAAAGAUCAAGCAUCUUCAAGCAGAAAUAUCGCGCUUGCGAAAAAAAGGACAAUCUUUCAAAGCAAGGUUAAAAGGUGGUGCAGAUCGAUCAAUCGAAUUUUGUCCGGAAAAUUAACUUAUGUGGGUGAAGACGAAACAAAAACAGCUGUUCAACAAUAUUAUGAUAAACAUAAACAUUAUAAAAAUAAAAAAUAAUAUGCAAA
Molecule: long non-coding RNA, 1793 nt
Organism: Leptidea sinapis
Lineage: Eukaryota; Metazoa; Arthropoda; Insecta; Lepidoptera; Pieridae
Exons: 7
Source: RefSeq, a predicted model, not a curated record